CACGUAGGGCGCAAGCGUUGUCCGGAAUUAUUGGGCGUAAAGAGCUCGUAGGCGGUCUGUUGCGUCCGCUGUGAAAACUCGGGGCUUAACCCCGAGCCUGCAGUGGAUACGGGCAGACUAGAGGUAGGUAGGGGAGAAUGGAAUUCCCGGUGUAGCGGUGAAAUGCGCAGAUAUCGGGAGGAACACCGAUGGCGAAGGCAGGUCUCUGGGCCGAUACUGACGCUGAGGAGCGAAAGCGUGGGGAGCGAACAGG
Molecule: ribosomal RNA, 253 nt
Filed under: uncultured bacterium
Lineage: Bacteria
Description: partial 16S ribosomal RNA
Rfam family: Bacterial small subunit ribosomal RNA
Source: RNAcentral